AACUYCAAASCUCUGACGCAUKAUGASGGAUCURCKRCCGAUUAGGUUGUURUUGGSGYAACGRCCCCAACAAACCCAGUAAUCGGUACGGGUUGUGGGAGCAAGAGCCCGGAGUUGGAUUCUGAGACACGAAUCCAGGCCCUACGGGGCGCAGCAGGCGCGAAAACUUUACAAUGCGGGCAACCGUGAUAAGGGAACCUCGAGUGCCUGUAUAUGCAGRMWGWMCAGGUGUCUAAAUCACACCUGAAGAAAGGGCCGGGCAAGACCGGUGCCAGCCGCCGCGGUAAUACCGGCGGCUCGAGUGGUGGCCACUUUUAUUGGGCUUAAAGCGUUCGUAGCUGGGUUGUUAAGUCUCUUGGGAAAUCCGACGGCUCAACCGUCGGGCGUCUAAGAGAUACUGGCAAUCUUGGAACCGGGAGAGGUGAGGGGUACUUCGGGGGUAGGAGUGAAAUCCUGUAAUCCUSGAGGGACCACCUGUGGCGAAGGCGCCUCACCAGAACGGCUUCGACAGUGAGGGACGAAAGCUGGGGGAGCAAMCCGGUUUAGAUACCCGGGUAGUCCCAGCCGUAAACGAUGCGCGCGCCCUUAUCGACGACCACGAGUCGUCGAGGUGCCGAAGGGAAACCGUGAAACGUGCCGCCUGGAAG
Molecule: ribosomal RNA, 647 nt
Filed under: uncultured Methanomicrobiaceae archaeon
Lineage: Archaea; Methanobacteriati; Methanobacteriota; Methanomicrobia; Methanomicrobiales; Methanomicrobiaceae
Description: partial 16S ribosomal RNA
Rfam family: Archaeal small subunit ribosomal RNA
Source: RNAcentral